GUUUUCAAUCAAACUGAUUUAUGAAACAAUUAAUUUAGAACCAAUACCAAUGAAGUUUUUGCUUAGCUAUUUUAUGUGUUCGUUAUCUUUGUAUCUGUGGAACGUUGUACACGCGUGAUAACGGAUGUUUUUUUGUGCAACAGUGACAGUGUUUUGUUUGUUUAUUUUCAUGUAGCUUGUUUUGAAGACAAUAGUUUUUAAAACGUAAUGUUCCCUUUCAAUUAUCAUUGUCUAAAUCUAAUGGGAACAUAGAAAAGAGAAUGUUUUAAUGUUGCGUCAGACAAAAUUGUGUCCGUCAAGUUUCAUCAAAGUAAGGUUUUAGAGUUCCAGAGGCCCUACUAUCUGUAUGAAAAGCUAAAAUGGGUCAAGGACUCACGCACCAGACCAUUGAGAAGCUGCACCAAACUUGUCGUACCCAAGCAUGAAACAGCGUUCUUCAGAGGGAGUUUCAAAUUUGCUGCUGCUAAAGUCUGGAAUGACCUGCCACCACCACUCCAAGUGCAGAGGAGGGGUCACUCUUGCUUGCCGGGGAUGUGCUGAGAUGCAUCCUGGUGGUGCCCACUUGCCUGCGAUGUACACUGAGCAGGUCCAUGUACCAGCUACUCACACUUUCCAUAGACUUGCAAGAAAAAAAUAAAAGUCAACAUGCCACUGCCAGCAAAUUUAUGAGGUAAAUUAUCAGUAAAAUAAAAACUUUUAUAUUAAAGGAAAAAUUGAAAAAUUUACACCUCCAGCAAGACUCAAAAUUGCGACUAUUGGAACACCUCGGACGGUUCUGCCAACUGAGCUAUGGUGGCUUACCAGAUGUGUGCCAAUUUUUCCAUUCCUUUGCUUAUAAAGUUUAGGGUGGCGUAUACCAACAUCUCUUGUCUAUAUUUACAGGCACUGGACCGGAGUCUCAAGUUAUAUUGAGAAUUCGCAAGUAACAAUGUGCUAACCCAUAAUAAACAAACUUUUAUCAUUUUUACUUUAAUAUGAAAAUUUUAGUAUCACUCACAGACAUAUGUGCUUGGUAAAAAAUUAAAUUAUUAGUUUUAUGAAUUGCCCUAAGCUUGCUUAUUUAUUUAAUAAAUAAAUAUUAUAGGACAAAUUGUACAUAGAUAAACCAAGUCCUAUAAAGCUUUUGUUGUGGGUACUAGACAGCAAUACAUAUAGUUAUAUAUAAAUACUUAUAAUAAUAUAAUAAUUUAUUUAUUGCAAGUAAGUUACACUCAUAAUGUGGUUAGUAAAACUUAAUUCUAAAUUAUGUAUUAGUAUUUUUUUUAACCUAGGGAUACAUCUAUAUCUAUAAACUAUUUUUGUUGUCAUCUGAGUACGGCACAUGUAGCCGACUGCAGCAUAGUAAAUAGGGGGAGUCCAGCCUGUCCCCUAUCAUCUUCAUGAUGAUGUUGGGGCUGGCGCGCACCCGGCGCACCAGGGAUGCGGCCCUCUUACGGAUAGUGGCAUAGAAACAAUCGACCCUGGCUUCAGCGAACAUCCCUGAUGCGCUACAGAAGCGCGGCAGCCCCAUCAACACCCGGAACGCGUUAUUAUACUGGACGCGGAGGGCUUCGUAGGCCCGUUUCGUAUAUGAAAGCCACAAAGUGCACGAGUACAGUGAGGUGCAGUAAGCUCUAAAGAGUGUCACUUUCACCUCCCUGGUACAGCGCACAAAUUUGCGAGCAAUCAUAUUCGCCCGGGCCGACAGGGCCCUCCUUUCUCUCUCUAUGUCUUUAUCAUCUUUGAGGUCUGCCGUGACUAUGUGCCCAAGAUAUUUAAACAUGUCCACCCUUUCGAGGUCUGUCCCGUUUAGUUUGAUGGGUGUCACUUCGGCUGUUCUGCCACGGCCGACAUCAAAGACCAUAUAUUUACUUUUAUUUACGUUAUAUUUUAAGCCGUGAGUCUCUGCAUAUGUUUCACAUACCUCCAGCAGCCUACGUAUGCCACCAACCGAUGCGCUUAGCAGAACCAUAUCGUCUGCAUAACUAAUAUUAUUAAGGCAGACACCGUCAAUAUGACAUCCGAUAUGCAAUCUGCCAAGCGCAUCUAGCAGUUCGUAGAUGUAGAGUAGGUGAGCUCAACCCCCCCUGCCUCACCCCACACUCCAACCUAUAAGGGUCAGAGAGCGCAUCCGCCCAUCUAACGCAGUUGACUUGGUUUCCAUACCAGUACCUGAAAAUGCUGAUUAGUCCAGAUGGAAGUUUAAUGUCUUCAAGUUUCUUCCAUAAAAUCUUAUAGGAAACCAAGUCAAAAGCCUUAGAUAGGUCGAGGAAGCAGGCAUAUACAGGGGAAUUUUUAUCUACGUAAUAUACCGGGUGUGUCCUGUAAUACAACAAAAAAUUUAAAAUUAAACUUCAAACUAGCCAACAUUUGUUCAGCGACUUUUAAAAAUUAAAAUAAUUUGUAUUUUUAAUUUUAGCACACCUUACUUCAGGAAGAAAUAUUUGUGAAAUAAAUGCCCUCACCUUUUUCACCACACCAGCUGGUAAAGGCUCUCUUGAUUGUUCAAAACUGAUAUGAAAGUUGCAUUUUAUUCACAUGUGAGGCAAAGUAAUCAAAUGCAGAUUUUGAGUUGUUCUCUUAUAUUUGCUGGUAGUAUUGACAUUUUGAAUCGAUUUGCUUUGAUUUUGUUUGAUAUCUUACAGUUAGUAUUUUCCUUGUGUUGGUGUGGUAAAAAAAAUUGUUUCACUCGGUGUAAAAAUUUGUUUAACCCUCGUGCCUGGAAACCCUCGCAACGCUCAAGAUUCUUAUGAGCAUGCAUGCUUUAGUUUUAGUUUAGUAUUAAUUUCGUUUCAGAUAAAAUGUAGAUUUUUGACAAUGCAAAAGUGAUCCAACAGAUCCUACUUGAAUAAAUUGGUUUUUAUCUUUAUCUUAUUCCAGAGGAAUCUUUCGCUUCCCCUGGUAUCAAUAUAAGCACGAGAGGUUAAACAACAACUUUGCGCGCUUGUAAAACAAAUAACUAUUAGUAUGUAAUGUUUUAUGAGUGUACCUAUAUGUAUUUCUUUAGAGCCUAACCCAAAUAUCUUGUUAUUUCCUAGGUAUUUAAAUACGGUAGUACUAUUAGUUAUUCUGUGAUUUAAGCAGGGGGGUGUCACUUCGCAGUUUAGGUACAUUUGGCCGACGCGCCUCCCGGGCAGGCGUAUGGCAAUGAGCUGCCGCUCGACUCGCGCAAAAUUUAAAAUACAUAAUGCCUUCGAAACCUAAAUUUAUAGCGGAGUCUUAGUAAUAGGGCACCGUUUUUACUCUUUGGGUAUGGAACCCUAAUAAAAACAUCAUUCUGUUUUUAUUUUUACCCCUGACUGUACAAAGAAUGACAUGUAUGUAUGUUUACGGUGAGUGGAUUUUUGUGUGUUCCCAGCGCCGCGUACUUACUAAAGAUUUUGUUAAGAAUCACUGCUUCAGAAACAGCAAUCCACAUGUUGCUGAAACAGAGAUAGUUGCGGUAAACACUACAUAAUUGUUUAUCGCCAUGAUCAUUGUACCUCAGACUAAAGACCAAUAUAACCCCGUAUAAGAUGAAUAAAGUCUAAGGAAAAAACGUGCCUCGGAAAUCAUGAAUUUUAACACAUAUCAGUGAAAGAACAUGGGUCAAAAUCAUAAAAAUAAUAAAUACAAAUAAAAAAAUCAUUUAUCCAUUAUACAUAUAUAUAUAUAAUUUUUUUGAUAUUUUUAGUUUUAAUCGUGUGUCGAUAGAUGGCAGUAAAUUUACUGUGGCUACGAAAUUUACUUCCCUCUAUCCUAUGCGACUGGCGAGAAACUGCAUAGGACCGGGAUCAGUGGCGAACUGUCGUGUUGGAGGCCAAGACACACUUUGGGUCGCUGCGCCAGAGGAGUAAGUAAGUAAGUAAGUCUAUCCUAUGCAUUCUCUUUGCUCAGACCGUCCACACUAUGUGAGCUGAAACAUUGUUUCUGUUAAUAUCUGCAUAGUGUUUCAGAAACAAUGUUUCAAACAUUGUUUAUAGUGAAUGCUCGGCUUAAGUCUCCAAAAUAAUCAGUUUUGAUUACUUUUCCUGAACAGGAUUUGUGGAACAGCAAAAAUGGUGUAUCAAGAACUUUCUAUAAGAGGAAGAUGUUUUAAUUUUGCAGCAGUGUCUGUUGUAAAGUAACUUUGUUACAAGCUUUUAUUAUUGUAUAACUUGCAGUAUACUCGUAUGUAUGUUCAGGUCAAAUCUUGCAUGCAAAAUUAGACCCAAUUUCUAAUUUCUUUUCUAUUAUUACAUAAAGCUAAAAAUUCACAUACACAAGUAAGUUGGGUGACAAUGCAUUAUUAUGGUACCAUCAAGAUGAUCUAAUGAUGGACUAAAGGUGGCCAUUGGAACUCUGUGAUAAAACAAUGAAAUCUAAUUGUGCCUCGAUUUGGUAGAAUUGUAUUGAUGAGUAUUACUUGCCUGUUGAAAGAAACGUACAGUCAGCAAUAAAAGCUUGUAUUGAAAAUGAAAUUUUUGACAAAAAAAACCCGGCCCUCUGAACCCUAAAAAUGAUUAUAAGUUGAAUUAAAUAUGAAACUAACCUGAUUUCAGACAAUGAUGGCUGUCAUCCAGCAAAAUGUGGAUCGCCUGAUGUCUUGUGGUCGCCUGGGAAAGGGACUAACACUAUUGAGUCAGUCUGCUUCACACCUGUAAUGUGACACAAGACAACGUGAUGGGCUGAUGGAUGUCGUCCAGCAAUGGUAGUCGGGAGCCACCUCUUGCCAACUCUUGCCACCUCUUGCCAACUCUUGCCAACUCUUGCCACCUCUUGCCACAUGAGCCGAUGUUGCAGACUCCCGGUGGAGGCCGAGUCCUAGCAGCGGACACAUGGACGGACAUUAUGGA
Long non-coding RNA from Cydia strobilella, 4793 nucleotides. RefSeq lists it as uncharacterized. The transcript is spliced from 4 exons. Lineage: Eukaryota; Metazoa; Arthropoda; Insecta; Lepidoptera; Tortricidae. The record is from RefSeq and is a predicted model, not a curated record.